UAUGUCAGAUGUUGUUAGUUUCUGUUAAGAAAGAUAAGGCAGAGUAAAGGGCUACAGAACAAUGUGUUGGGGAGACAGGGUCUGUCUUAGAGAAAGCAAUCAAUGACACCUUCAGUGGGGUGCCAUUUGAACAGAGGCCCAGUGACGUGGAGGAGUGAGCGUGCAGUGGCAGAGUGUUCCAGACAAAGAGACCAGCAAAUGCAAAGGCCAUAAAGUGACAGCAUGGUUGGUGUUUGCAAAGAAGAGAGUGGAGGCCAGAGGGGCUGGAUCCACACAAGGGAGAGCAAGAACAAGGACAAGAGUCUAGAGAGACGGCCCGGGGCCGCAUCAUAUGUCGGAAUGCCCUUUGUUGGAGUGACAAUGACAGAAAGAACCCCUCAAGAGUCCAGAGAUCAGACUCCCCCCAGAACACCCUCUACUUCACAGCUCCAGGACGCCUGUGGUCCGGCCAGAGCCCUCUCCAGAUCUGCUUUUGCUUUUCCUUGUUUUCAUUUUAUUUUCCUUGAGCAGUAGUUUUUGCAUCUGUUCUCCUGUACAAAAGACAAAUACAAGAGCUGCUAGGGCAAAGGACUCAUGAGACAUGAUAUCAGAGAGAAUGGGAAAGGGGCAUAGCAAAAGAAAAGGGUUAGAGAGGACAUUUUUCUCAUCAAUGGAGACAUGAACAUUCAGUGCCUCAUUUUUUAAAAAACUGCUGUAUGAGCUGAGAUUGUGCCACUGCACUUCAGCCUGGGCAACACAGUGAGACUCCGUCUCAAUUAAAAAAAAAAAAAAAAAAAGCUGCUGCAAACAUUAAUGACACCUGUAGCAAAUCCUCCUUCCUUGUGUAUUAAGAACUAGCACUUGUUCAGUUAAUCACUCUUGGUUACUUACUGAUCUUCAGAGGAAGCACCAUCUCCUUCCAGAUUUGGCUCCAUGGCUACCUGCAUCUGUUCUGCAUAGAGCCUGAAGGAAGGGCCUCUAAAAUGGCAACAAAUAACUAUUGCUAGAUCUAGGAAAGUUGUAGUGGCUGCCUCCCCUUGGGCUGUGCCUUAGUCAACAUUAUCUGCCAGGAGGGGCAGGCUGAGCGCAGGGGCAAGUAGUGGGGAGACUCCCACAGCGUGACCAGCCCGGGUCCAGGUCUCAAAGCCAUAUUUCCAUGCAGACACUGAAAAACUGGAGUGUCCCGAAGAGAAUGACCAGAAUGGUGAAAAGUUUAAAAACCUUACCAUAUGAGAAAUGAUUACAGAAACUGGUUAUGUUGAGCCUAGAACAAAACACUCACGGGAGCAUAGGUUCUCAAAUAUUUGAAGGGCUAUCACAUAAGCCCAGACUGUGUAACUGGGGCCAGUGGAGCAUAUCACUAAAAGGCAGAUAUUGACUCAUAUGAAUAAUAGGAUCUUAAAGCUGGAAGGAAAUCUGUAGUUACUCAGUUCAAGUUGUUUUAUUUCUCACGUGGAAACCGAAAUCCAAAGAGAAUGUUACUCCUCUGAAAUUACAUAAUUAGAGGCACAGUCAGAAUUACCUUUCGAUUAUCUAAAUCAGUCCAGUCCCUUCCACUGCACUAGAUUACCAAGGAAGAAUGUUCUGACAGUUGGGAAAAUCCAAAUAUGAAGUAAACUGUUUCAACGAAUCUGCUUAAGCAGAAACCAUCUCAGAACAAUACUGUAGACUAGAGACUUAUAAUAAUGAAUUAUAAAUGAAAGAAAGAAUGGGCAGGCACUGUGGUGUACACCUGUAGUCCCAGUUACUAAGGAGGCUAAAGUGGGAGGAUCACUCAAGGCCAGAAGUUCAAGACCAGCCUGGGCAGCACAGUGAGACCCCAUCUCUAAAAGAAAUAAAUAAUUAAAAUUAAGAAAUAAAAAGAAUGAAUGAAUGAAUGAAGAGACGGUCAAAAGAGGUCAAUGAAAGGAUUCUGCUAGGGUGUCAGAAAAAAAGCCAAGCUUUCUCUAAAGACAAUUUAUUCUAGCUUCCCUUCUUGUGCCUUUUUUAUAGUAUGUUGCUUUGGGAAGGUAUCAGAAUUGAAAAGAGAUGAUAGAAAGUAAUAAUCCCAUUACCAGGAAAAAAAACCCAGCAAAUCAGUCAAAUAAGUGAAUAUAACAUAUAUAGUCAUUAAAAAUUUUAUGUUCUUUAGGAGAUUUAAAAAUAAUAGGAAAACACUUACAUCAGUCAAGUUUCUUUGGAGGCAAGCAAUAGAAACCAACUCUGGUUUUAACUAAAGUAAAAGAGGAAAUGUAUUAGAAAGUUGUGAGUAACUUAGAGAACCAAGGAAAAUGUUGACCAAGCCUCAGAAAAGACAAAGCCAGGUAGAUAGAUAGUUCUGUUCUAUCUUCCCCAGUUGCUCACUGAAGAUUCAACUCCCAACCAACGGAGCCUGAUUGGCCUAUUUGAGGCCAAGGGCCCUCCUUUUUGAUGGGGUGGGGAGGAGUUGUAGGACAUCUUGUCAGAAGCAUUAACUGGGUUAACAAAAUAAAGUACAAAACAAAGUUUGAACAGGUAUCUGUAGAACAGGAAAUGCACCCAUCUGUUCAUUCAAUAAGCACUUACUAUGCACCUACUAUGUGUCAGCACCAACUGGGAUACAGGAAUUACUAAAUAGUAGCACCACAAACCCUGCCCUCAAAGAGCUCACAGACUGGUAAGAAAGCAGUGUGUCAACAAAGGAUUCCAGUGAGUUCACAGGGACACAGCCCCUAACAUGAGCUCAAAGGCACCUCCUGGCCUGUAAGACCUCAGUCCCCAAAGAGAGCCAGUCAGGGUCCCAGGGGAAAUGGUAAAAGGAGAAAGCAUUGCCUGGGAAUAAAACUUCAGCUGGCAGGAACAGAAGAUGGCAUGGUAUGGUAGUGUCCUGGGGCAGGCCUUCCCACAGCAGCAUCACACUUUUGUUUAACUGUGUUGCCUGAACACCAGGACAUCUCAUGCUGGUAGCUUGUCUUCAGAUUUCCCUUGAGAUAGUGCAGAAAAGGGAGAGCUGCUCACAAGGGCUGGGGGCUGGUUCCAUUCUCCUGGUGGUGGUUGGGGUGGUCCUGGCUGGGAGACCUGGAUUGAGAGGCUGAUGCUGUCCUGUCUGCCAGCCCACCCUGUUGGUCUUCAAGCCUGUACCCACUGGCUGGGCCUGCUUAGCCUCCUCAAGAGUCUUCCAAAGUCAGGUAAAGUCAUUUGAACUCAGCCUAACCAGAGAGAAAAUGAAGAGGUCGGAGCUCUGUCUGCUGGCUGACCCACUCAACCGUAUGCCCACCUUCAGUUGGCUUAACUGCAGGAGCUCAGAGUUCCAGCAUACUCACUGCAGUCCUGCUCCCAGGCCAGGGAGCCACUACCCCCGUUCCCACCCCCCAGCAAAGCAGAUACAACCAGUUGGUAGCCUGGACCUCUCUCUUCCCUGCUCAAAAAUACCUUGGGAUCCCUCCUGCCCCUCACUGAUAAAAACCUGACAGCCUAACAGUCCCAGAAAAUCCCUAACAACCCCCACACACACCCAGGGUGCUGGAUCCCUCCUGAGCACGGAGCACAGAUCCCCACAUGCAAGGAUGCCUCCGCCUGAGGACGUGAGAGAGGCAGAUGGCAGAAGGACUGACCGCAGGCCUGGUCACUCCCAGGAGAAGGACAAGAAGUACAAGGGAAGGACUGAGGCUCUUGGCUUACUUGUUGUCCUGAGGCCUGGGCAGUCAGGAGAAGGUAGAGCUCUCAUCUGUGCACUCAUCUGAGGGAAGCCUACACCAGAGGCCAGAGUCACCAGCCAGAGCCUCAGCCAGCUCCAGCCAGCUGCUAAUGGAGCGUUUAUUCUUCUGUAGGCUGCGUCUAGAAAGGACAAGCCUAACAGGAUGCCUGUCGGUCCAUUCCCUAUCCAAUUACCCCAGGAAGCCACAAGCACAGACAAUAUCACCCCUACAGCAAGGCAAGAAGGCUGCUGCCCUGGCCUGUACUGCAGAAGGGCAGCUCUGGCUCUCCUCCAUAGGCAAGAAGACAACGGUGCUUUCACCUGUAGCUCCCUCGCCCCCUUUUAGAUCACAUUUCAGAAAUACAGAUGGGAAUUCUGAAGAUGGGCUAAAAUGCCUACGUGUACCCUGAGUCUGAGGGUAGCUGAGGGGCAGUUUAUGGACAAGGCGUGGAGGAAGCUCGGGAUGUGCACAGCUGUGGCCACAAGGCUCUUCGCAGUGUGGGCUGGAGCUGCAGGUGAGAAGAGAAAGGAUCUGAUUUAGGCAGAUCUGAUCUGGGCAAGGGAGCCAGUUCUUCCUAUGCUGGGAGUUCUGGUAUGAAACCCCAAAGAGUCCAAGAUUUCUGAAUCCAAACCUAGCCUUCCAAGGCAUUGUGAAGGUAUAUUUGUCAAGCUAGGAGGGUAGAACAUAUUUUACGUAAUAAUGUGUUCACUCAACUUAUAAUUACAAAUGUUAUGGGUGGGCCUCAAUAUGGGGACCCCUCCCCCUGAACUUUUUCCAUCAUAAUUCCCUCCCACCCCCUGAACCUGACACCUUCCCCAUGACUAAAAGGAAACCCCCAGCUCUCACUGCAGCUCAAAAUGAGCACAGCAAUGUGGGUCUGGAAUCACACUCGGGACAGCGGGCUCUGAUUUCCUGGAGGACUGAUUCACGGGUCCACGGCACUCGUUCUCUCAACACGUCUUUAGUGAGUACACACUCCAUGCCAGACACACUAGGAACAGAGCUGUGGGCACGGCAGGCGAGUCUCUGCAUUCAUGAAGCUUGCCGACUAGUCAGGCAGAGACAGACACUGUACAAAUGUACACAAAUGUUUAAUUAAAACUGUGCUAAUCUCUAUAGAAGAAAAUAGCUGAAAACCAAGAGCCAGAAUAACAAGGGAGCAAAAUAUAGCUGGUGGGUGGACAGAGGGAAGGGCCUCCCUGAGGAAGGAGAGUCAAGCUGAGGCCAGUGGGGAGAGGAGGAGUCAGCAAAGCAAAGAGUGGGGGAGCUGCCAUGCUGGGAUUGAGCAUCCACAAAAGCCCUUCUAGAAAGAUCUCUGC
This 4954-nucleotide long non-coding RNA is filed under the name Macaca fascicularis (crab-eating macaque). RNAcentral's name for it is "lncRNA (ENSMFAG00000048409.1)". Lineage: Eukaryota; Metazoa; Chordata; Mammalia; Primates; Cercopithecidae. The record is from RNAcentral.